GAAUUGACGGGGGCCCGCACAAGCGGUGGAGCAUGUGGUUCAAUUCGACGCAACGCGAAGAACCUUACCCAGAUUUGACAUCCCGGGAAUCCCCUGGAAACAGGGGAGUGCCCUUCGGGGAACCCGGUGACAGGUGCUGCAUGGCUGUCGUCAGCUCGUGUCGUGAGAUGUUGGGUUAAGUCCCGCAACGAGCGCAACCCUCGUCCUAUGUUGCCAGCGGGUAAUGCCGGGGACUCAUGGGAGACUGCCGGGGUCAACUCGGAGGAAGGUGGGGACGACGUCAAGUCAUCAUGCCCCUUAUAUCCAGGGCUGCAAACAUGCUACAAUGGCUGGUACAAAGGGCUGCUAUACCGCGAGGUGGAGCGAAUCCCAUAAAGCCAGUCUCAGUUCGGAUUGGAGUCUGCAACUCGACUCCAUGAAGCCGGAGUCGCUAGUAAUCCCGGAUCAGCAACGCCGGGGUGAAUACGUUCCCGGGCCUUGUACACACCGCCCGUCACACCACGAAAGUCGGCAAUACCCGAAGUCAGUGGCCCAACCCCUUGGGGAGGGAGCUGCCGAAGGUAGGGUUGGCGAUUGGGGUGAAGUCGUAACAAGGUAGCCGUACCGGAAGGUGCGGCUGGAUCACCUCCUUUCUAAGGAG
Molecule: ribosomal RNA, 640 nt
Filed under: Actinomycetes bacterium
Lineage: Bacteria; Bacillati; Actinomycetota; Actinomycetes
Description: bacterial SSU rRNA
Rfam family: Bacterial small subunit ribosomal RNA
Source: RNAcentral